CUAAAAACACGGUUUUCCCCCUUCAAAUGGUUUCAAAGGAAAACAGAGUUACAGUAAAGUACACAAGUAGGUUUCAGCUAUUGAUCUGAAUUUGCUCUCAACUGCUGGGCUAUUUUUAUUUUUUUUGCGGGGGAAAGGACGUUCCGUUGAAUCACAGAAUAGUUUGGUUACACUCCGUAUUUAACACGGCCAACAAUUCGACGGGACCCGAGCCCAGCCAAACAGUUGUCCUCGCGUCACUCCUAGCAACAUUGGCGAGAGUAUGACUAGCAAUCUUCUAAGGCCUAGUUAUCUUUUCGAACUUGAACGCCCUUCCUUCUUGCACCAACUUCCUGAUCUCUUCCACUAAGAACAUGAGAGGGGAACGAUCCUCCUUAUUAGAGCUUGCCAACGCCAGCACCAUCGCACAGACUAGCUGGAUCAGGAUUGGUUUUACUUUCCAUUGCU
RNAcentral lists this long non-coding RNA (447 nucleotides) under Brachypodium distachyon (stiff brome). RNAcentral's name for it is "long non-coding RNA (BDIS_LNC003621)". The record is from RNAcentral. Lineage: Eukaryota; Viridiplantae; Streptophyta; Magnoliopsida; Poales; Poaceae.